AGAGAAGAUUCCCUAUUUUAAGAUGAGAACACUUCAUCACUCUCGUUUCUAGAUCUCAUGUGGAAAUCCCAGCUGAGGAAUGAGGUGAGAGAGAGAGAGAGAUGAAUAUUAAGGGUGGUUGCUCCUCUCUUCUUGCCCAUGAUCUCCAACAACAUUAACAAAAGAAAUCAUGAACAACCCUUUUCUGCACACACACAGUCAUCUGAGUCGGAUCUCACUGCGUGUAAUUGCUGAAAGGGAUCGAGUUCAUGCAUUUCUUGUGUUUCCACCCUCGAUCAUACAUUCGAAUUUCCAAAUGUUUCCUUGUCCAUCAUAUACCAAAUCACCAGUAUUGUGUUUCAUGCGACCUCGAUCCAGUUUUGCAAGCUAGCCAAGGCUGUGACGAUGAGCUUCUUUGAGCUGGGGCGGGCGCUGAGAAUGAUCCGACCCGUAUCUUGGCGGGGCAACUGGUUGUUUGCAGCCAUGGCGGUGUCUCCUUCUCCGCCUGUAUUUUUUCCAGAUCUGAGCCUCUCUAUUUUUAAUUCCAUCGAGAAGGGAAAUAAAACCCUAAACUUCUCACUCUUCUGCUUCUUCACUCAUCUACUCUUCCAUUCUACUUGCGACCUAUGCACAAGCUCGGAUCUAUAUUUGUGUGUAAAAUCCUUCGAAACCGCAAAUUCAUCCGAUUGCUCCAGAAAUUUUCGCGAUCUAGUUGCAUGUGCCUUAAAUUCAUCGACACCAGCAGAAGCUGCGCAUAUGUUAUGGAUGCAGAAGAUCCAAGGGAUAAAUUAUUGAUUGCAAAACAGGAAAUGAGCAUUGAGAAUGAUCCGACCCGUAUGUUGGCGGGGCAAUUGGGUAUGAUUUGCAGCCAUGUCGGAGUCUCCAUCUCUAUGCUUGUUUUCAAUUUGAAGGAGAAGAAACGAGCCUAUUUCUAAUAGUAAAAACUUGUGUGCAACCGGUUGUACUGGUUUCAUCGGAUUCUUUUGAGCUUCUGCUAAUCUGGUGACUAUUAUUGUGUGUUUGGGGCACAAAAUUUGGAGCUUGACAUCUUUGGCAAUGGAGUGGGGAGGGGAGACCCGUAUCUUGGCUGGGGCGACCCGGAUGGCAUCUGGUUCCUCGACAGAUGCAACCGGUGUUUCUGCAGCCAUGGCGUGGUUGAACUCUCUUGCCUUGCCUCAGUUUCUCGAAGUCUGUUUAUAUGGCUAAAUUUUGAGCUUGUUUGGUUAUGGUGGCGUUUGGUUUGAGUGAUAAGACACAAUUGAUCAAUAAGUGAUCAAUAUGCCAUUGUUGUCCCUUGAAAGUCCGUGGAAAUGAUCUGUGGAUGAAGGGGCAAUGACGAUGAUGAUUUUAGAUGUAUUUGAUUUGAUGAUACUUGGGCAAAAGGAAUCCUUCCCCGUAUCUUGGCGGGGCAACCCGGAGUUGCAUAUGCAACCGGUGAUCUUGCAGUCAUGGCGUGGUUGGAUUCUGGUUCCCCAUCACACAUCUGAGCCUCAGUCCCUUGUGAAUUGUGAUAUUAAGGGAUUGAAACUUUGCGAUAUUCUAAGGCCCUUGAUAAGUUCUAUCAUCUGAGCUAAUUUUGCAUGAUUCGUAUUCCCAUUGAAAGGAGGAAAUACUCAAUCAUGCAUUUUAUCAAUCAUAAAAAGUAAAUGCCCCCUUAUUGUUUACCAUAUGAGCUACAUCUUGGACAGUAGGGGAUUAAUAUGCUGUUGUUGCCCCUCGAAAUUCUGGAAAUGAUCUGUUGAUGGAGGGGCAAUGACGAUGAUGAUUUUAGAUGUAUUGAUGAUACUUGGGCUAAAAGAAUCCUGUCCUGAUCUUGGCGGGGCAACCCGGAGUUGCAUAUGCAACCGGUGUGAUCUUGCAGCCAUGGCGUGGUUGGAUUCUGGUUCCCUAUCACACAUCUGAGCCCCAGUCCCUUAUUUAUUGGAGAAAUUGGAUAUGGCCUUUGAUUUGGAUACAGUGUACUAUGCUGUAUGAAUUGGUAUUCUCUCUCUCUCUCUCACACACACACACAUGUAUCCGAGGGGUUGUGACGAUGAAACUUGAUGUCUUGGCGGGGCAACCCGGAUGGCAUUCGGUAUAUGCAACCGGUGAUGGCUUGGCUAGCAUCUGUUUGACUCGUCACGUGCACCAAAUAUCUGAGCCAUAGUUGAUGGAAAAAUGGUUGAAAACAUUAGUCCUACUUGUAGCAUGGGGAAGUUCCACAAACCACAUCAUUUUGGUUAUGGUUUUGCUUCUUCAUCCAUCACAUACCAAUCUACUACUCCUUUCGAUUCCUGGGACCUUAAUUCAGUAACAAAGGCUGUGAUGAUGAGCUUAGAUGAGUUGGGUCAGGCAGUGAGAAUGAUCCGACCCGUAUCUUGGCGGGGCAACCGGGUGUGUUGCAGCCAUGGCGGCGUCUCCAUCUCCCUGCCUGUUUGUUUCUUGAUCUGAGCCAAGAAAAUGAGAAAUGAGGGGGUGGGAGGCUUAGGAUUUUCCUCAAGGGUUGCCCCUCCCUCUUCCCCCCAUGAUUGUCCAACCUAACAUUGGAAACAAAACCCUUGUGUGUCUUUGCAGCUGGCUGUUUCUUUCUGCAAAUAAUGAUAAUGAUAAUAAUAAUAAUAAUGUUAAGGAUGAGAAGGUGCGUGAAGGAGGUUUCAUCUGAGUUGAUCUUGUCGGAACAACCCGGAUGGCAUUUAUGCAACCGGUUGUUUUGAUGGAAUUGCUGCGGCGGCGGCGGUGGUAAUAUAUUUGAGCCUCUAUGGCUUAUUUAUUUAUUUAUUUAUUUUUGGAUCUUCGACAUCUUUGGCAAAUGGGGCAAUGACGAUGAAUGUUGGUAUGCUGGCGGGGCGACCCGGAUGGCAUCUGGUAUAUGCAACCGGUGGUUUUGCAGCCAUGGUAAAAUAUCUGAGCCUCAACUCAGUUCUCCUCCCUCACUACUCACAAUCACAAUACAUAUUUCUUUCAACUUCUCUUCUUUUUUCUCUCUCGGAUCAUUCUUUUUGUUUUUUUUUUCCCCUUUUUGUGUCAAGUAUACUUUAUAUCGGAAGUUUGUAUGCUUGUAAAAUUGGGAAUUUAGUAUUCCAUCUAGAUUUGUAAUUACAUCGUCGUUUUGUAUGCUUGUAAAUUUCGGAAUUUAAUAUUCCAUCUAAAAGAUUAUUUGAAGUUUA
This is a long non-coding RNA of Salvia miltiorrhiza (redroot sage), 3125 nucleotides long. RefSeq lists it as uncharacterized. The transcript is spliced from 2 exons. The record is from RefSeq and is a predicted model, not a curated record. Lineage: Eukaryota; Viridiplantae; Streptophyta; Magnoliopsida; Lamiales; Lamiaceae.